GACGAACGCUGGCGGCGUGCUUAACACAUGCAAGUCGAACGGAAAGGCCCUGCUUUUGUGGGGUGCUCGAGUGGCGAACGGGUGAGUAACACGUGAGUAACCUGCCCUUGACUUUGGGAUAACUUCAGGAAACUGGGGCUAAUACCGGAUAGGAGCUCCUGCUGCAUGGUGGGGGUUGGAAAGUUUCGGCGGUUGGGGAUGGACUCGCGGGUUAUCAGCUUGUUGGUGGGGUAGUGGCUUACCAAGGCUUUGACGGGUAGCCGGCCUGAGAGGGUGACCGGCCACAUUGGGACUGAGAUACGGCCCAGACUCCUACGGGAGGCAGCAGGGGGGAGUAUUGCACAAUGGGCGGAAGCCUGAUGCAGAAACGCCGCGUGCGGGAUGCCGGCCUUCGGGUUGUAAACCGCUUUCGCCUGUGACGAAGAGUGAGUGACGGUAAUGGGUAAAGAAGCACCGGCUAACUACGUG
This 468-nucleotide ribosomal RNA is filed under the name uncultured bacterium. RNAcentral describes it as "partial 16S ribosomal RNA". It matches the Rfam family "Bacterial small subunit ribosomal RNA", at positions 28 to 507 of the family's 1533-position model. The record is from RNAcentral.